This is a long non-coding RNA of Zingiber officinale, 1121 nucleotides long. RefSeq lists it as uncharacterized. The record is from RefSeq and is a predicted model, not a curated record. The transcript is spliced from 3 exons. Lineage: Eukaryota; Viridiplantae; Streptophyta; Magnoliopsida; Zingiberales; Zingiberaceae.
GGGCCCGGGGAAAGCCUAUUUAGGUUACCCUAUUUAAGUGAGGAAAAGUUUGAAUUCUUUUCCUUUUUGUUUUUCUUUUCUUAUUUUACUUUUCGCCGUUUCCUUUACUCCCGCGCCUCCUCUCCCGAGCUUUCCCCGACGCCGAGCCCUAACCACCCUUCCUAGCCGGCGCUGCAAACCCCGCUGCCACCCUCUCCUCUGCCGACGCCGACGACGCCAUGGAACAGAGAGCCGGCAGCUGAGCAUCCCUUCUUCUCCCUCGUGUGCACGCCCUCGCCCUAGAUCCGCCGGCGUCCGAGCCUUAGCGCCGGCCUCUCCCUCUCUUCUUCCUUUCCGAGCCGCACUGGACGGCGCCACCACUUGAGGUCGAAGGGAGCAGCGUCGCCGCGAUUUCUCUGCCCUAGCUUGCACCCGAGCCUUCCUCUCCCCUGAUCUGUGCGCCGAGGUCGACCUCUGUGCCCUAGCAAGCCAGCCAGCCACCCUCCUUAAGCGAUGCUUCACCGCUUCCUGUGUCGCCUCUGGUCCCCACGGCCAACCCCAGUCACCGCUGCCGUCGCCGUUCAUCCUCGCGAGCAGCCGAUGCAGAAAAUGGGGUUGUUCACAGCCGGCCCUAUCUGUGCCCUAGUGCUGACACCAAUCCAGCACACUCCUCUUGAGUGUGCCCUAGUGUGGAAUCCAAACCUAGUGCUUCCUCUUGCUGCCACUGCCGAGCGAGCUUGCCACUGUGUUUUUGGCAGUCACCUCUGUGUCGGCCAUCAAAUCUGCCACUGCCUCUGUGCCAUUAUUCCCUUCACGGGCUGAUCUGUGGCCAAGCGAAAGAAGUCUCCAAUCUAGCUUCAAGACUAGCGCUGGAUCUCAGUCUCGGUCUGGUGUGAAGUUGCCGGCAGUUAGUAUGGUGAUCAGACAACAAGGUGCUGAUGUGGAAGGGUUGACCUGUUAGGCAACGACUCCACUGUGGAUCCAAGCAUCACUGGUUGAGGACGAUCCACAGAUUUGAGCAACCUAUUUCUGGUCAUGGAUUCCUUUAAUUGUGAGUUACCAGCCACCUACUUGAGUUUGGGACUUUGACACGAGACGAGCAUCUUGACAUCAGAUUGGACCGGAUACGAUCCUCUUAUCGG